This 497-nucleotide ribosomal RNA is filed under the name uncultured bacterium. Its description in RNAcentral is "partial 16S ribosomal RNA". It matches the Rfam family "Bacterial small subunit ribosomal RNA", at positions 28 to 507 of the family's 1533-position model. The record is from RNAcentral.
GAUGAACGCUGGCGGCGUGCCUAAUACAUGCAAGUCGAGCGAACAGACGAGGAGCUUGCUCCUCUGACGUUAGCGGCGGACGGGUGAGUAACACGUGGAUAACCUACCUAUAAGACUGGGAUAACUUCGGGAAACCGGAGCUAAUACCGGAUAACAUGUUGAACCGCAUGGUUCAACAGUGAAAGACGGUCUUGCUGUCACUUUUAGAUGGAUCCGCGCCGCAUUAGCUAGUUGGUAAGGUAACGGCUUACCAAGGCAACGAUGCGUAGCCGACCUGAGAGGGUGAUCGGCCACACUGGAACUGAGACACGGUCCAGACUCCUACGGGAGGCAGCAGUAGGGAAUCUUCCGCAAUGGGCGAAAGCCUGACGGAGCAACGCCGCGUGAGUGAAGAAGGUCUUCGGAUCGUAAAACUCUGUUAUUAGGGAAGAACAAAUGUGUAAGUAACUAUGCACGUCUUGACGGUACCUAAUCAGAAAGCCACGGCUAACUACGUG